Molecule: ribosomal RNA, 429 nt
Filed under: Gemmatimonadota bacterium
Lineage: Bacteria; Pseudomonadati; Gemmatimonadota
Description: Gemmatimonadetes bacterium partial 16S ribosomal RNA
Rfam family: Bacterial small subunit ribosomal RNA
Source: RNAcentral
UAGGGAAUCUUCGGCAAUGGACGAAAGUCUGACCGAGCAACGCCGCGCGAGUGAAGAAGGUUUUCGGAUCGUAAAACUCUGUUGUUAGAGAAGAACAAGGACGUUAGUAACUGAACGUCCCCUGACGGUAUCUAACCAGAAAGCCACGGCUAACUACGUGCCAGCAGCCGCGGUAAUACGUAGGUGGCAAGCGUUGUCCGGAUUUAUUGGGCGUAAAGCGAGCGCAGGCGGUUUCUUAAGUCUGAUGUGAAAGCCCCCGGCUCAACCGGGGAGGGUCAUAGGAAACUGGGAGACUUGAGUGCAGAAGAGGAGAGUGGAAUUCCAUGUGUAGCGGUGAAAUGCGUAGAUAUAUGGAGGAACACCAGUGGCGAAGGCGGCUCUCUGGUCUGUAACUGACGCUGAGGCUCGAAAGCGUGGGGAGCAAACAGG